GAUGAACGCUAGCUACAGGCUUAACACAUGCAAGUCGAGGGGCAUCAGGAAGAAAGCUUGCUUUCUUUGCUGGCGACCGGCGCACGGGUGAGUAACACGUAUCCAACCUGCCCUUUACUCGGGGAUAGCCUUUCGAAAGAAAGAUUAAUACCCGAUAGCAUAAUGAUUCCGCAUGGUUUCAUUAUUAAAGGAUUCCGGUAAAGGAUGGGGAUGCGUUCCAUUAGGUUGUUGGUGAGGUAACGGCCCACCAAGCCUUCGAUGGAUAGGGGUUCUGAGAGGAAGGUCCCCCACAUUGGAACUGAGACACGGUCCAAACUCCUACGGGAGGCAGCAGUGAGGAAUAUUGGUCAAUGGGCGCUAGCCUGAACCAGCCAAGUAGCGUGAAGGAUGAAGGCUCUAUGGGUCGUAAACUUCUUUUAUAUAAGAAUAAAGUGCAGUAUGUAUACUGUUUUGUAUGUAUUAUAUGAAUAAGGAUCGGCUAACUCCGUGCCAGCAGCCGCGGUAAUACGGAGGAUCCGAGCGUUAUCCGGAUUUAUUGGGUUUAAAGGGAGCGUAGGUGGACUGGUAAGUCAGUUGUGAAAGUUUGCGGCUCAACCGUAAAAUUGCAGUUGAUACUGUCAGUCUUGAGUACAGUAGAGGUGGGCGGAAUUCGUGGUGUAGCGGUGAAAUGCUUAGAUAUCACGGAGAACUCCGAUUGCGAAGGCAGCUCACUGGACUGCAACUGACACUGAUGCUCGAAAGUGUGGGUAUCAAACAGGAUUAGAUACCCUGGUAGUCCACACAGUAAACGAUGAAUACUCGCUGUUUGCGAUAUACAGUAAGCGGCCAAGCGAAAGCAUUAAGUAUUCCACCUGGGGAGUACGCCGGCAACGGUGAAACUCAAAGGAAUUGACGGGGGCCCGCACAAGCGGAGGAACAUGUGGUUUAAUUCGAUGAUACGCGAGGAACCUUACCCGGGCUUAAAUUGCAGUGGAAUGAUGUGGAAACAUGUCAGUGAGCAAUCACCGCUGUGAAGGUGCUGCAUGGUUGUCGUCGGCUCGUGCCGUGAGGUGUCGGCUUAAGUGCCAUAACGAGCGCAACCCUUAUCUUUAGUUACUAACAGGUUAUGCUGAGGACUCUAGAGAGACUGCCGUCGUAAGAUGUGAGGAAGGUGGGGAUGACGUCAAAUCAGCACGGCCCUUACGUCCGGGGCUACACACGUGUUACAAUGGGGGGUACAGAAGGCAGCUAGCGGGUGACCGUAUGCUAAUCCCAAAAUCCUCUCUCAGUUCGGAUCGAAGUCUGCAACCCGACUUCGUGAAGCUGGAUUCGCUAGUAAUCGCGCAUCAGCCACGGCGCGGUGAAUACGUUCCCGGGCCUUGUACACACCGCCCGUCAAGCCAUGGGAGCCGGGGGUACCUGAAGUACGUAACCGCAAGGAUCGUCCUAGGGUAAAACUGGAA
This 1442-nucleotide ribosomal RNA is filed under the name uncultured organism. Its description in RNAcentral is "SSU rRNA". It matches the Rfam family "Bacterial small subunit ribosomal RNA". The record is from RNAcentral.